This 1998-nucleotide unclassified non-coding RNA is filed under the name Hevea brasiliensis (rubber tree). Lineage: Eukaryota; Viridiplantae; Streptophyta; Magnoliopsida; Malpighiales; Euphorbiaceae. The record is from RNAcentral.
CGGGAAAAGAGAAAUGAACUUAGACAUAGAGGGCGUCCAGUUUCGUCUUCCAUCCAGCUCUCCAAACAUAUCAUCACCAUCAUCGUAUGUGGGCUUUUGUAGCUGUAACAUAACAACUCGCACCUCUCACAAACUAUGAGAAGAAGUUUCUUUUUUCUUCGCUGCUCCAAUUCUCCGUUUUCUCCGUCUGAAUUCUCAGUAUUGACUAUGUAUAGCUAAACAAGGAAGGGAUUUAAAGGGAGUUUUACGGGUCGGAAUUGGCGAGGGUUUGAUUUAAUUUCUUGCAUGUUUUAAAAUAGAGAAAGAUGAACACAGGAAAAGGAGAGAAGCAUCAUCAUCAUGAUCAUGAUCAUCAAGAGCCCCCUUAUCAUGUCAUUCACAAGCUUCCUCCUGGUGAUAGCCCUUAUGUUAGAGCCAAGCAUGUCCAGCUAGUUCAAAAGGAUCCAGAAGCCGCGAUAGUUUUGUUUUGGAAGGCAAUAAAUGCUGGAGAUAGAGUAGAUAGUGCCCUCAAAGACAUGGCAGUGGUUAUGAAACAGCAAGAUCGAGCAGAGGAAGCAAUUGAAGCUAUAAAAUCUUUUAGGCAUCGCUGCUCCAAGCAAGCCCAAGAAUCACUUGACAAUGUCCUCAUUGACUUGUACAAGGUAUCCACAUAGUACAAUAGUUUGGUUAGAAUUAGAAUAGAUAUUCUGGUUGUAUGAGCUAAGAAGCUCAUUGCCUUUUCUCUAGCCUUUGAAUACAUCCAAGUUAGUUAUCACUGAGUCAUUAUUGUCAAUAGCAAUUUAGAAUUAUCAAUAAUUGAUCAUGAUUAGCCAGAUUCUCCUGUUUUUAGAAUGUGAGUUUAUUGUCCUGUUAUCUUUUGGUUGGUUUCACUAGUAAUUAUAAAAAUUGAAGAAAAUGGCAGAAAUGUGGGAGAAUUGAGGAGCAGAUAGAACUAUUGAAGCAGAAGCUUCAUAUGAUCUAUGAAGGAGAAGCAUUCAAUGGAAAGCUAACUAGGACAGCUCGCUCUCAUGGGAGAAAGUUCCAGGUUACCAUCAAGCAAGAGACAUCUCGGAUACUGGUACUGAAUUUAUCUAGUCUCUUCUUUCAAUAAUACAUUGCACAUAUCCUGUUUAAUGAUCAAUGACUACAUGAUCUGUUUUUUUUCCCUUUGUUUCUUAAUCUAUUAAGGUUGUCAUUUCUAUAAAUCUUACCUCUAUUGGGCAUGUGUGAGAGCAUGAGUGGCUCCACUUUAUUGUUCUUUUUCCCCCCAUUAUGUCCUGGUUGCAGUUGUCUUCAAAAGUUAGCUAACUUCACAAACAUUCAACCAGGGAAACUUGGGUUGGGCGUACAUGCAGCAAGGAAGCUAUUUGGCAGCAGAAGUUGUGUACCAGAAGGCGCAAUCAAUUGAUCCUGAUGCUAACAAGGCUUGCAAUUUGUGCUUGUGCCUUAUCAAGCAAGCGCGAUAUGCUGCGGCACAUUCAGUCCUUGAUGAUGUAUUGCAGGGUAAGCUUGCAGGAUCCGAUGACCCCAAGUCAAGAAGCCGUGUGAAGGAGUUGCUUCAUGAAUUAGAAGCAUGCCAAUCAUCACUGCUAUCGCCAAAAUCAUCAGAAUUAUGUUUAGAAGAUGCUUUUGUUGAAGGACUUGACAAGUUGAUGAGUCAAUGGGCACCCUAUAGGUCAAGGAGACUUCCCAUAUUUGAGGAGAUCUCUCCAUAUAGAGAUCAAUUAGCUUGUUGAUCCUAUAUUCUUAGAUCCGUCUUUCUUGAUAGACUGAGGAGAUAAAUGAUAGUGUGGAAGAAACAAUAAAUGGGAUUAAGAUACUAGUUCCUGUAUAACAAAUGUGAACUUGAAAGAAACUGUAAACUAGUGUUCUUUGCAGUGGAACUUCAACACCUGUAAGUAACAAAGUUACUGUAGAAAUACUUUACAUUCUUAACUCAGAAUCCAUAAACAAAAGAUUUCCAUGAUUUUGUACGCGAUCAAUUUGUAGAAAUUACCCUUUUAUGAAGUUGGAAUCAAG